RNAcentral lists this small RNA (315 nucleotides) under Malus domestica (apple). Lineage: Eukaryota; Viridiplantae; Streptophyta; Magnoliopsida; Rosales; Rosaceae. The record is from RNAcentral.
GUAUAUCGGAACUUCAUAUUAUUCUACUUAUGUGGUAUUUUUCAUCUUAAGUCUUGCAUGUGGGAACGAGGUAUGCAGUGCAGCCAAGGAUGACUUGCCGGCAACAAUGCUCCCAUACAAUAUUUGUAUAUCAACCCUAAUCUUGUAGAUCUAUAUAUGUAUAUAUGUAUAUGUGCAUAGCAUAUACAUAUGGGAUGUAUCAUGUAUGUUAAUGUCAUCUCAUGCGUAUAUGCAUGAUUGAUAAGAUACAUGAUCUUGUGACACUGAGUUGAUCGGCAAGUCGUCUCUGGCUACAUUUUUGCCUCCUUUUCUCAU